UAUGAAGUAUGAGCCGGGCAGUGGUGG
This 27-nucleotide non-coding RNA is filed under the name Cricetulus griseus (Chinese hamster). Lineage: Eukaryota; Metazoa; Chordata; Mammalia; Rodentia; Cricetidae. The record is from RNAcentral.